AAUAGAUACCCGGGUAGUCCACGCCGUAAACGAUGUCGACUUGGAGGUUGUUCCCUUGAGGAGUGGCUUCCGGAGCUAACGCGUUAAGUCGACCGCCUGGGGAGUACGGCCGCAAGGUUAAAACUCAAAUGAAUUGACGGGGGCCCGCACAAGCGGUGGAGCAUGUGGUUUAAUUCGAUGCAACGCGAAGAACCUUACCUACUCUUGACAUCCAGAGAACUUAGCAGAGAUGCUUUGGUGCCUUCGGGAACUCUGAGACAGAUGCUGCAUGGCUGUCGUCAGCUCGUGUUGUGAAAUGUUGGGUUAAGUCCCGCAACGAGCGCAACCCUUAUCCUUUGUUGCCAGCGGUUCGGCCGGGAACUCAAAGGAGACUGCCAGUGAUAAACUGGAGGAAGGUGGGGAUGACGUCAAGUCAUCAUGGCCCUUACGAGUAGGGCUACACACGUGCUACAAUGGCGUAUACAAAGAGAAGCGACCUCGCGAGAGCAAGCGGACCUCAUAAAGUACGUCGUAGUCCGGAUUGGAGU
RNAcentral lists this ribosomal RNA (527 nucleotides) under uncultured bacterium. RNAcentral's name for it is "bacterial SSU rRNA". It matches the Rfam family "Bacterial small subunit ribosomal RNA", at positions 777 to 1304 of the family's 1533-position model. The record is from RNAcentral.